Long non-coding RNA from Helianthus annuus (common sunflower), 2521 nucleotides. RefSeq lists it as uncharacterized. The record is from RefSeq and is a predicted model, not a curated record. Lineage: Eukaryota; Viridiplantae; Streptophyta; Magnoliopsida; Asterales; Asteraceae. The transcript is spliced from 8 exons.
GAGAAACCCUAAACUGCAAAAUCGUGUCAUUGUAGUAUGAAAAUUAGAUGCUAGAUCUGGAACAAAUUUGGGUUUGCAGAGAGAACAAACUCCCUUUGGAUCCUGCUGUUGUUGCUCCUGCUGUUGAUGUUGUUGAUUAUAUCUCAUCCUAAAAUCUUAAACCCGUUUCGGAUCCGGUUGUUAAGUUCAAGAGUCUAAUGGAAGGACUGUAGUCAAAGGACUGGCUAAAGAUUUGCGAUUCGUUGAACGAUGUGAGGCGACUGGCAUUGUUCCACUCUGAGCUCCUGCUACCGAUCUUGAAAAGGUUGUCAUGGUUUUAGUGAAAUCAAUGAAGAAUCCAAGAAGUGCUUAAUGCAAGACUGCAGUCAUGGCUGCUUCUGAUCUUUUCAACAAGUUCUAUGAAUUCGGUUUUGCAUCCACAUUAUGGAACAUUAAAAUCAUACUAUGAGACACUCCCAGAUUCAGAUUUAAAGAAAUUAUGUGAUGAAGGUUGGUAGUGUGGCGGAGUAGGCACAUGAGGAAAUAAUCCAUGUAUAGGUUGGGAAUUGUGACUCGUUUGUAGCAAAAUCAGCUUUGGUAACUACCUAAUAUGGAUGUUGUGCAUGCCCGGUUCUGUUUUUAGCAAUUGAUAUCCGGGAACAGCUACGGUCAGGCUAUGGUAUGUCUUAUGUGUGAGAGAUUUUCUUAUCACAAUUAUAGAAAGGUAAUGUCAAGUCUUACUCUAACAGGUCAAGUGGAACGGGAGUCGUCCAAAUUGUGUCUUUAAUGAAUAAACCAACUAACUCGCUUAACGUGUUGUUUUGGGUGCACUUAACAGGUUCGUGGGUGACAUGUUUAGCCCGUUUAAUUUUUAUAAACAAAUAAAAUUAUUUUUAUAACAAUUUUUAAAAGAUAAAAAGAGAACUGAAGGGUGAUGUGAUACUUCUACCUGCAAAUGAAUGCAGUUAGAAUUUAUAGGAGGGUGUUAUUGCAGUUCUUUCAGCCCCCAGACUUGGAACAGAUGGAAAUGGAAUUAAGAUUGGAGAAGAAAUGCACAGAGGAGUUAGAUGACGCACUCAUGAGGUCGAUUAAUGGUCAUGGUAGAAUGGUGGAACAUUAUGCUGAUUUGCAGGAAGAAGUAUAAUGAACUGAUUUGCAGGAAGAUGUAUUAAAUUACUUGAAUUAAUAAUUAUACACAGGGCCGGCUCAAGGGGGAGUGAAAUAAAGCAAUCGCUUUAGGCCUCCACUUCCUUAGAGCCUCAAAUUUUAAAGAAAACAUAUUAUAUGUAGGUGAUUUUGACUUUAAAAUUGUUGACGUUGAGAUUUAUGAUAUAUAAGAUGGUGUAUGAAUCAUAGGUUCAAAAGCAAUUAUUUUUUCUUUUAUUUUUUUACGAAAAGGGCCUCAAUUUUGUUUUCCCCUUCGGGCCUACAAUAUUUUGAGCCGGCCCUGAUUAUAUACUCAGUUAUAGCAUAUAAAACUUAGUUGUUAUUUUGUAGAUAAAGUGUAGGAAGUGUGGAGGCAAAUCACUACAUGAAAAAGGGCAGUGAUAAGUUUUGAUUCGUUAAAUGGACUGCAUAUAUUCAAGUUGUUUAAAUGGUUACAAGUUUUGAUUCGAUAAAUGGACUGUAGAUAAGUGUCUCUUUCUUCCAAAACUAUUUUUGGUGUUACAAGUUUAGAUUACGAUGUUUUGCAUUUGGCUUGGACUGUAGAUAUUCAAGUUGUUUAAAUGGUUCUUUCAUGUGGUGUUGAUGGUUCAUGUUCAACUUUGAGAUAUCCUAUGACCCACAUGGCCCAUGGCAUAUAACCCGUGGUUCGUAAAUCGUUUCAGAUAUCAUUUCAGUGAGUAUGUUCUUUAAUUGUGUGUAUAUGUAUAAGAUGGUUAUGCGUGUAAUUGGUUCGGUACCGAUGAGUGUAACAGUUGAUAGAGGUUAAAGGAGGGGGAUGGUUUUGAUAAAUUAAAUGUGAGAAUUGAGAUUAUGGCUGCAAUAAACAGUUUAACCAUAACAGUUUGGAAUUGCAAAUGACUAGCUACAGAAAUGAAGACGAAUCCGUAGACCAUGAUUUCACUUGUCUUACAGCCGCGAAAGUUUGGCAGCACAUCAGCUCCUGGCGCAAAUCACUCAGAUGCAUUUCUCCUCCGUUAAAGAUAUAUUUGACUGUCGUAACCUCUUACCGGAUCAAAGCAAAAAGAGACGCCUCAUGCAAGUGAUUUUGUUGAUCUCUUGCUGGUAUAUUUGAUGGGCCAGGAACAGGUGUAUAUUAUCGAAUGAACCGAUAAAGAUUGAUACUAUUUUGGGGGAGACCAAUUCUUGUAGUUACUUGUGGAUUUGCAAUCAGUCAAAGAAGUUGGCUCUAGAUUGGACCAACUGGAAGUGUUUUGAUGUGUAAUUUUGUUUGUUAGCUGUAGUUGUUUUGCCUUGCAUUAGGUUGGUUUCUAAUGAAAGUCGUCGUUUGAAAAAGAAAUUGUUUGGAUAAUGGCUGCAAAAAAACAUGUGUAGGCUAUUUUGAACCAUAAUAAUUGAGCAUGUUGUUUCGAACCAA